RNAcentral lists this ribosomal RNA (639 nucleotides) under uncultured bacterium. RNAcentral describes it as "bacterial SSU rRNA". It matches the Rfam family "Bacterial small subunit ribosomal RNA", at positions 56 to 692 of the family's 1533-position model. The record is from RNAcentral.
UGCAGUCGAACGGUAACAGCACUUCGGUGGCUGACGAGUGGCGAACGGGUGAGUAAUACAUCGGAACGUGCCCGAGAGUGGGGGAUAACGCAGCGAAAGCUGUGCUAAUACCGCAUACGAUCUACGGAUGAAAGCAGGGGACCGCAAGGCCUUGCGCUCAUGGAGCGGCCGAUGGCAGAUUAGGUAGUUGGUGGGAUAAAAGCUUACCAAGCCGACGAUCUGUAGCUGGUCUGAGAGGACGACCAGCCACACUGGGACUGAGACACGGCCCAGACUCCUACGGGAGGCAGCAGUGGGGAAUUUUGGACAAUGGGCGAAAGCCUGAUCCAGCCAUGCCGCGUGCAGGAUGAAGGCCUUCGGGUUGUAAACUGCUUUUGUACGGAACGAAAAGGUCUUUUCUAAUAAAGAAGGCUCAUGACGGUACCGUAAGAAUAAGCACCGGCUAACUACGUGCCAGCAGCCGCGGUAAUACGUAGGGUGCAAGCGUUAAUCGGAAUUACUGGGCGUAAAGCGUGCGCAGGCGGUUAUAUAAGACAGAUGUGAAAUCCCCGGGCUCAACCUGGGAACUGCAUUUAGUGACUGUAUAGCUAGAGUGCGGCAGAGGGGGAUGGAAUUCCGCGUGUAGCAGUGAAAUGCGUA